UGGGGAAUCUUGCGCAAUGCGCGAAAGCGUGACGCAGCAACGCCGCGUGGGGGAAGAAGGCCUUCGGGUUGUAAACCCCUUUCAGGAGGGACGAAGGUAGGGCGGUGAACAGCCGUCCCUACUGACGGUACCUCCAGAAGAAGCCCCGGCUAACUACGUGCCAGCAGCCGCGGUAAUACGUAGGGGGCAAGCGUUGUCCGGAAUCAUUGGGCGUAAAGCGCGCGUAGGCGGCCCGGUAAGUCCGCUGUAAAAGUCCAGGGCUCAACCCUGGAAAGCCGGUGGAUACUGUCGGGCUAGAGUCCGGAAGAGGCGAGUGGAAUUCCUGGUGUAGCGGUGGAAUGCGCAGAUAUCAGGAGGAACACCGAUGGCGAAGGCAGCUCGCUGGGACGGUACUGACGCUGAGGCGCGAAAGCGUGGGGAGCGAACAGGAUUAGAUACCCUGGUAGUCCACGCCGUAAACGAUGGGCACGUAGGUGUGGGAGGUGUCGACUCCUCCCGUGCCGUCGCUAACGCAUUAA
Molecule: ribosomal RNA, 518 nt
Filed under: uncultured Actinomycetes bacterium
Lineage: Bacteria; Bacillati; Actinomycetota; Actinomycetes
Description: bacterial SSU rRNA
Rfam family: Bacterial small subunit ribosomal RNA
Source: RNAcentral